GCCGAGGUGGUGGAAUUGGCAGACACACUAGCCUUAGGAGCUAGCGCUCACGCAUUAAGGGUUCGAGUCCCUUCCUCGGUA
RNAcentral lists this transfer RNA (81 nucleotides) under Bacteroidota bacterium. RNAcentral describes it as "tRNA-Leu". It matches the Rfam family "tRNA". Rfam says of the family: Transfer RNA (tRNA) molecules are approximately 80 nucleotides in length. Lineage: Bacteria; Pseudomonadati; Bacteroidota. The record is from RNAcentral.